Diospyros lotus (date-plum) is the source of this 88-nucleotide small nucleolar RNA. RefSeq annotates it as small nucleolar RNA Z102/R77. The record is from RefSeq and is a predicted model, not a curated record. The transcript has a single exon. NCBI's taxonomy places the organism in Eukaryota, Viridiplantae, Streptophyta, Magnoliopsida, Ericales, Ebenaceae.
GAAUGAGAUGACGAUGAUUGUGUUUCCCUAUUGGUUUGAUCACCGGGAUGAUGGUGUCUACUUCUGUAUUAGCUCUACCUGAUCAUUC